AGUGAACGCUGGCGGUAGGCCUAACACAUGCAAGUCGAACGGCAGCACAGUAAGAGCUUGCUCUUACGGGUGGCGAGUGGCGGACGGGUGAGGAAUACAUCGGAAUCUACUUUUUCGUGGGGGAUAACGUAGGGAAACUUACGCUAAUACCGCAUACGACCUACGGGUGAAAGCAGGGGAUCUUCGGACCUUGCGCGAUUGAAUGAGCCGAGGUCGGAUUAGCUAGUUGGCGGGGUAAAGGCCCACCAAGGCGACGAUCCGUAGCUGGUCUGAGAGGAUGAUCAGCCACACUGGAACUGAGACACGGUCCAGACUCCUACGGGAGGCAGCAGUGGGGAAUAUUGGACAAUGGGCGCAAGCCUGAUCCAGCCAUACCGCGUGGGUGAAGAAGGCCUUCGGGUUGUAAAGCCUUUUUGUUGGGAAAGAAAAGCAGCAGGUUAAUACCCCGCUGUUCUGACGGUACCCAAAGAAUAAGCACCGGCUAACUUCGUG
This 492-nucleotide ribosomal RNA is filed under the name uncultured bacterium. RNAcentral describes it as "partial 16S ribosomal RNA". It matches the Rfam family "Bacterial small subunit ribosomal RNA", at positions 29 to 507 of the family's 1533-position model. The record is from RNAcentral.